This 468-nucleotide ribosomal RNA is filed under the name uncultured bacterium. Its description in RNAcentral is "partial 16S ribosomal RNA". It matches the Rfam family "Bacterial small subunit ribosomal RNA", at positions 28 to 507 of the family's 1533-position model. The record is from RNAcentral.
GACGAACGCUGGCGGCGUGCUUAACACAUGCAAGUCGAACGGAAAGGCCCUGCUUUUGUGGGGUGCUCGAGUGGCGAACGGGUGAGUAACACGUGAGUAAACUGCCCUUGACUUUGGGAUAACUUCAGGAAACUGGGGCUAAUACCGGAUAGGAGCUCCUGCUGCAUGGUGGGGGUUGGAAAGUUUCGGCGGUUGGGGAUGGACUCGCGGCUUAUCAGCUUGUUGGUGGGGUAGUGGCUUACCAAGGCUUUGACGGGUAGCCGGCCUGAGAGGGUUACCGGCCACAUUGGGACUGAGAGACGGCCCAGACUCCUACGGGAGGCAGCAGUGGGGAAUAUUGCACAAUGAGCGGAAGCCUGAUGCAGCAACGUCGCGUGCGGGAUGACGGCCUUCGGGUUGUAAACCGCUUUCGCCUGUGACGAAGCGUGAGUGACGGUAAUGGGUAAAGAAGCACCGGCUAACUACGUG